RNAcentral lists this ribosomal RNA (255 nucleotides) under uncultured bacterium. Its description in RNAcentral is "partial 16S ribosomal RNA". It matches the Rfam family "Bacterial small subunit ribosomal RNA", at positions 524 to 777 of the family's 1533-position model. The record is from RNAcentral.
UACGUAGGGGGCAAGCGUUGUCCGGAAUCAUUGGGCGUAAAGCGCGUGUAGGCGGCUCGGUAAGUCCGCUCUGAAAGUCCAGGGCUCAACCCUGGGGAUGCGGGUGGAUACUGCCGGGCUCGAGUCCGGAAGAGGCGAGUGGAAUUCCCGGUGUAGCGGUGAAAUGCGCAGAUAUCGGGAGGAACACCAAUGGCGAAGGCAGCUCGCUGGGACGUGACUGACGCUGAGACGCGAAAGCGUGGGGAGCAAACAGGG